AGACGAAUUUGACAACAUAAGAUUUCUC
Molecule: small RNA, 28 nt
Filed under: Bombyx mori (domestic silkworm)
Lineage: Eukaryota; Metazoa; Arthropoda; Insecta; Lepidoptera; Bombycidae
Description: ovarian small RNA-11861
Source: RNAcentral